This 495-nucleotide ribosomal RNA is filed under the name uncultured bacterium. RNAcentral describes it as "partial 16S ribosomal RNA". It matches the Rfam family "Bacterial small subunit ribosomal RNA", at positions 28 to 507 of the family's 1533-position model. The record is from RNAcentral.
GACGAACGCUGGCGGCGUGCCUAAUACAUGCAAGUAGAACGCUGAAGGAGGAGCUUGCUUCUCUGGAUGAGUUGCGAACGGGUGAGUAACGCGUAGGUAACCUGCCUGGUAGCGGGGGAUAACUAUUGGAAACGAUAGCUAAUACCGCAUAAUAGUAGAUGUUGCAUGACAUUUGCUUAAAAGGUGCAAUUGCAUCACUACCAGCUGGACCUGCGUUGUAUUAGCUAGUUGGUGGGGUAACGGCUCACCAAGGCGACGAUACAUAGCCGACCUGAGAGGGUGAUCGGCCACACUGGGACUGAGACACGGCCCAGACUCCUACGGGAGGCAGCAGUAGGGAAUCUUCGGCAAUAGACGGAAGUCUGACCGAGCAACGCCGCGUGAGUGAAGAAGGUUUUCGGAUCGUAAAGCUCUGUUGUAAGAGAAGAACGAGUGUGAGAGUGGAAAGUUCACACUGUGACGGUAUCUUACCAGAAAGGGACGGCUAACUACGUG